RNAcentral lists this ribosomal RNA (239 nucleotides) under Candidatus Bacteroides merdavium. RNAcentral's name for it is "partial 23S ribosomal RNA". It matches the Rfam family "Bacterial large subunit ribosomal RNA", at positions 2670 to 2925 of the family's 2925-position model. Lineage: Bacteria; Pseudomonadati; Bacteroidota; Bacteroidia; Bacteroidales; Bacteroidaceae. The record is from RNAcentral.
CUCUGACACUAGUACGAGAGGACCGUGUUGGACUGACCUCUGGUUUACCGGUUGUGCCGCCAGGUGCAUUGCCGGGUAUCUAAGUCGGGAUCGGAUAAGCGCUGAAAGCAUCUAAGUGCGAAGCCGGCCACAAGAUUAGAUUUCUCAGGGUCGUUGUAGACGACAACGUUGAUAGGACGCAGGUGUAAAGGUGGUGACAUCAAAGCCGAGCGUUACUAAUUGCCCGUAAGCUUUUUGUU